GAUUAUGGCUCACCAUCCAACGCUAGUGGCAGGCCUAAUACAUGCAAGUCGAACGGAUCAGGUUCCUUCGGGGACUUGGUUAGUGGCGCACGGGUGCGUAACGCGUAUGCAACCUACCUUCCACUGGGGGAUAGCCCACCGAAAGGUGGAUUAAUACCGCAUAUGACCACAGGAGGGCAUCCGAUUGUGGUGAAAGCUUCGGCGGUGGAAGAUGGGCAUGCGUGCCAUUAGCUAGAUGGCGGGGUAACGGCCCACCAUGGCGACGAUGGCUAGGGGUUCUGAGAGGAUGGUCCCCCACACUGGUACUGAGACACGGACCACACUCCUACGGGAGGCAGCAGUAGGGAAUAUUGGGCAAUGGCCGAGAGGCUGACCCAGCCAUGCCGCGUGCAGGAAGAAGGCCUUCUGGGUUGUAAACUGCUUUUACCUGGGAAGAAAACGCCCCUGCGGGGGUAACUGACGGUACCCAGGUGAAUAAGCCCCCGGCUAACUCCGUGCCAGCA
This 503-nucleotide ribosomal RNA is filed under the name uncultured Bacteroidota bacterium. Its description in RNAcentral is "bacterial SSU rRNA". It matches the Rfam family "Bacterial small subunit ribosomal RNA", at positions 15 to 513 of the family's 1533-position model. The record is from RNAcentral. Lineage: Bacteria; Pseudomonadati; Bacteroidota.